Molecule: ribosomal RNA, 422 nt
Filed under: uncultured bacterium
Lineage: Bacteria
Description: bacterial SSU rRNA
Rfam family: Bacterial small subunit ribosomal RNA
Source: RNAcentral
UCUUCCACAAUGGACGAAAGUCUGAUGGAGCAACGCCGCGUGAGUGAUGAAGGUUUUCGGAUCGUAAAACUCUGUUGUAAGGGAAGAACACGUACGAGAGGAAAUGCUCGUACCUUGACGGUACCUUACGAGAAAGCCCCGGCUAACUACGUGCCAGCAGCCGCGGUAAUACGUAGGUGGCAAGCGUUGUCCGGAAGUAUUGGGCGUAAAGCGCGCGCAGGCGGCCUUUUAAGUCUGAUGUGAAAGCCCCCGGCUCAACCGGGGAGGGCCAUUGGAAACUGGAAGGCUUGAGUACAGAAGAGAAGAGUGGAAUUCCACGUGUAGCGGUGAAAUGCGUAGAGAUGUGGAGGAACACCAGUGGCGAAGGCGACUCUUUGGUCUGUAACUGACGCUGAGGCGCGAAAGCGUGGGGAGCAAACAGG